This 72-nucleotide transfer RNA is filed under the name Trueperella pecoris. RNAcentral's name for it is "Trueperella sp. 19M2397 tRNA-His". It matches the Rfam family "tRNA". From Rfam's summary of the family: Transfer RNA (tRNA) molecules are approximately 80 nucleotides in length. Their secondary structure includes four short double-helical elements and three loops (D, anti-codon, and T loops). Lineage: Bacteria; Bacillati; Actinomycetota; Actinomycetes; Actinomycetales; Actinomycetaceae. The record is from RNAcentral.
GUGGCUGUAGCUCAGCGGUAGAGCACCUGGUUGUGGUCCAGGGGGUCGCGGGUUCAAUCCCCGUCAGCCACC